RNAcentral lists this transfer RNA (77 nucleotides) under Escherichia coli. RNAcentral describes it as "tRNA-Val". It matches the Rfam family "tRNA". From Rfam's summary of the family: Transfer RNA (tRNA) molecules are approximately 80 nucleotides in length. The record is from RNAcentral. Lineage: Bacteria; Pseudomonadati; Pseudomonadota; Gammaproteobacteria; Enterobacterales; Enterobacteriaceae.
GCGUCCGUAGCUCAGUUGGUUAGAGCACCACCUUGACAUGGUGGGGGUCGGUGGUUCGAGUACACUCGGACGCACCA